ACAUGCAAGUCGAGCGUAACAGAUAAGCAUCACUUCGGUGUGCGCUUAUGCUGACGAGCGGCGGACGGUGAGUAAAGCGUAGGAAUCUGCUUCUAGGCGGGGACACUCGGGAAACCCGAGCUAAUACCGCAUAACGUCUACGGACCAAAGCCUUCGGGCACCUAGAGAUGAGCUACGUUGGAUUAGCUUGUUGGUGGGGUAAAGGCCUACCAAGGCGACGAUCCAUAGCUGUUCUGAGAGGAAGACCAGCCACACUGGACUGAGACACGGCCCAGACUCCUACGGGAGGCAGCAGUGGGGAAUAUUGGACAAUGGGGGCAACCCUGAUCCAGCGAUGCCGCGUGUGUGAAGAAGGCCUGAGGGUUGUAAAGCACUUUUGUUAGGGAGG
Molecule: ribosomal RNA, 388 nt
Filed under: uncultured bacterium NIC005
Lineage: Bacteria; Pseudomonadati; Pseudomonadota; Gammaproteobacteria
Description: bacterial SSU rRNA
Rfam family: Bacterial small subunit ribosomal RNA
Source: RNAcentral